Molecule: transfer RNA, 92 nt
Filed under: Serratia marcescens
Lineage: Bacteria; Pseudomonadati; Pseudomonadota; Gammaproteobacteria; Enterobacterales; Yersiniaceae
Description: tRNA-Arg(acg)
Source: RNAcentral
UGCGCGGUGCGCUGUGGGGGCGAUUCAGCUACGACCUGUUUGCCGGCGUGCCGCUGUACAAGCCCGCGGGGUUCCAUACCUCCGGCGCGACC